RNAcentral lists this ribosomal RNA (551 nucleotides) under uncultured Acidobacteriota bacterium. RNAcentral's name for it is "bacterial SSU rRNA". It matches the Rfam family "Bacterial small subunit ribosomal RNA", at positions 355 to 897 of the family's 1533-position model. The record is from RNAcentral. Lineage: Bacteria; Pseudomonadati; Acidobacteriota.
UGGGGAAUUUUGCGCAAUGGGGGAAACCCUGACGCAGCAACGCCGCGUGGAGGAUGAAGGUCCUUGGAUUGUAAACUCCUGUCAGCAGGGAAGAAGGCCUGGGGGUGAAUAUCCCCCAGGAUUGACGGUACCUGCAGAGGAAGCCCCGGCUAACUCUGUGCCAGCAGCCGCGGUAAUACAGAGGGGGCAAGCGUUAUUCGGAAUUAUUGGGCGUAAAGGGCGCGUAGGCGGCUUCGCAAGUGAUGGGUGAAAUCCCUCGGCUUAACCGAGGAACUGCCCCUCAAACUGCGUUGCUGGAGUCCGGGAGAGGUGAGUGGAAUUCCCAGUGUAGCGGUGAAAUGCGUAGAUAUUGGGAGGAACACCAGUGGCGAAGGCGGCUCACUGGACCGGAACUGACGCUGAGGCGCGAAAGCGUGGGGAGCAAACGGGAUUAGAUACCCCGGUAGUCCACGCCGUAAACGAUGAGUGCUUGGUGUAGCGGGUAUCGACCCCUGCUGUGCCGAAGUCAACACAUUAAGCACUCCGCCUGGGGAGUACGGUCGCAAGGCUGA